CAGUCGAGCGAGCGGAACCACAGAUUUACUUCGGUAAUGACGUUGGGAAAGCGAGCGGCGGAUGGGUGAGUAACACGUGGGGAACCUGCCCCUAAGUCUGGGAUACCAUUUGGAAACAGGUGCUAAUACCGGAUAAUAAAGCAGAUCGCAUGAUCAGCUUUUGAAAGGCGGCGUAAGCUGUCGCUAAGGGAUGGCCCCGCGGUGCAUUAGCUAGUUGGUAAGGUAACGGCUUACCAAGGCGACGAUGCAUAGCCGAGUUGAGAGACUGAUCGGCCACAUUGGGACUGAGACACGGCCCAAACUCCUACGGGAGGCAGCAGUAGGGAAUCUUCCACAAUGGACGCAAGUCUGAUGGAGCAACGCCGCGUGAGUGAAGAAGGUUUUCGGAUCGUAAAGCUCUGUUGUUGGUGAAGAAGGAUAGAGGUAGUAACUGGCCUUUAUUUGACGGUAAUCAACCAGAAAGUCACGGCUAACUACGUGCCAGCAGCCACGGUAAUACGUAGGUGGCAAGCGUUGUCCGGAUUUAUUGGGCGUAAAGCGAGCGCAGGCGGAAAAAUAAGUCUAAUGUGAAAGCCCUCGGCUUAACCGAGGAACUGCAUCGGAAACUGUUUUUCUUGAGUGCAGAAGAGGAGAGUGGAACUCCAUGUGUAGCGGUGGAAUGCGUAGAUAUAUGGAAGAACACCAGUGGCGAAGGCGGCUCUCUGGUCUGCAACUGACGCUGAGGCUCGAAAGCAUGGGUAGCGAACAGGAUUAGAUACCCUGGUAGUCCAUGCCGUANACGAUGAGUGCUAAGUGUUGGGAGGUUUC
RNAcentral lists this ribosomal RNA (807 nucleotides) under uncultured bacterium. RNAcentral describes it as "bacterial SSU rRNA". It matches the Rfam family "Bacterial small subunit ribosomal RNA", at positions 59 to 834 of the family's 1533-position model. The record is from RNAcentral.